This 433-nucleotide ribosomal RNA is filed under the name uncultured bacterium. RNAcentral describes it as "partial 16S ribosomal RNA". It matches the Rfam family "Bacterial small subunit ribosomal RNA", at positions 29 to 507 of the family's 1533-position model. The record is from RNAcentral.
AACGAACGCUGGCGGCAGGCCUAACACAUGCAAGUCGAGCGAGCAUUUCGGUGCUAGCGGCGGACGGGUGAGUAACGCGUGGGAACGUGCCCUUUUCUGCGGAAUAGUCCUGGGAAACUGGGGGUAAUACCGCAUACGCCCUUUUGGGGAAAGAUUUAUCGGAGAAGGAUCGGCCCGCGUUGGAUUAGGUAGUUGGUGGGGUAAUGGCCCACCAAGCCGACGAUCCAUAGCUGGUUUGAGAGGAUGAUCAGCCACACUGGGACUGAGACACGGCCCAGAAUCCUACGGGAGGGAGCAGUGGGGAAUCUUAGACAAGGGGGGCAACCCUGAUCUAGCCAUGCCGCGUGAGUGAUGAAGGCCUUAGGGUUGUAAAGCUCUUUCAGCUGGGAAGAUAAUGACGGUACCAGCAGAAGAAGCCCCGGCUAACUCCGUG